This 737-nucleotide long non-coding RNA is filed under the name Hordeum vulgare. Its description in RNAcentral is "long non-coding RNA (HVUL_LNC004833)". The record is from RNAcentral. Lineage: Eukaryota; Viridiplantae; Streptophyta; Magnoliopsida; Poales; Poaceae.
ACGCAAGGCCGUGGCGGCGACCAACAGCCGGUGCUCUGCGCGGCAACGCACAGCGCACAGCGCGGUUUGAACCAGCGCGGAGACGGGUUACAAAGCGCAAGACCAGGCAUCAAUGGCAGCGUCGCCCGGCCUGCGACGCGGCAGCAACCCCAAACAGCCGACACUUGAAGCAGCGACGUCGUCCAGAGCGACGGGACGGCCUUGACCUCCCGGACGGCGGCGCGUCUUCCACGCGCGGUCCACGACCCACUUCCUGCAGCGUGGAGGAAUUGGCCCCCAAUCAGCACAGGACAGAAACAAACGCUAUGUUGUCGCGGAGGUGGUCAUCGACCGGCGCGCGGCAGCGCGAUCCUGAGCCCGGGCGAAGGCAGCCCACGGGGGGCAAGGCACAGCGCAACCAUCAAUUGACCCGCAGUGCACAGUCGUCAUCUGUCUCCAUGAGCGGAACGCACGUACAUGAAGGACAUGGAUUCCUAUCCACACACAGACGCACGGGAUAAGGAAUUUGUCAAACCUUAUCCUUACGCAGUUUUGCAAUUUCGUCCUUCCUAUGUUUAUUAUCAAUAGGAAGGCCCCGCGUUUCUCUAUUAAUCCCUCAGGCUUCACAGAUUUGACAGAGUUCUGUCAUCUUGAUGCAUAAAAGCCUUUAUGCUUAUUAAAACCUAUGAUUAGGUCAUUGUCAGUACAAUAUAUACCCUCAGGUUGCAUUACAUUCAUGUUUUGUAAGUCAAUAUUCU